Molecule: long non-coding RNA, 330 nt
Organism: Suricata suricatta (meerkat)
Lineage: Eukaryota; Metazoa; Chordata; Mammalia; Carnivora; Herpestidae
Exons: 2
Source: RefSeq, a predicted model, not a curated record
CUGAGGCUCAAAAAAUGAAGAAAUUUGUCCAUGGUUUCAAGGUAAGCUGGCUUGUGAGAGGGCCAUGUGCUAGGAACUGGGAGUGGCGUCUGAGAGCCAAGAGCAACUUUUGACAAGCAGCUAACAAGAAAACAACAACAAGGAACUGAAUUUUGCCACAAACCUGAAUCAGCUGACAAGUGGACCCUGAGCAUUAGAAGAGAGCACAGCCCUGGCUGACACGUUGAUUUCAUUCUGGUGAGACCCUGAGUAGAUGACCCAGCUAACUCAUGCCUGGAAUCCUGGCCCAUAGACAGUAUGAGAUAAUAAAUUUUUGUUUUAAACCAAUAA